Long non-coding RNA from Exaiptasia diaphana, 408 nucleotides. RefSeq lists it as uncharacterized. The transcript is spliced from 3 exons. The record is from RefSeq and is a predicted model, not a curated record. NCBI's taxonomy places the organism in Eukaryota, Metazoa, Cnidaria, Anthozoa, Actiniaria, Aiptasiidae.
AACUUUGAACCAUUUUUAUGAAGCAAACAGUUAUAAUUGCUGCGCACAAAGAAAUCUAGUAAACUUGUAGUUUGAAAUUGAUCCAAAGAUACAAUUUGGAAAUUUCUAAACGCAUGACCUAUCAAGGCACAUAGCCAGUUCCAGUUUCUCUGCGUCAAAGCAAUUGUCAAAGCCGCCGUAAUCCAUGUCGAGAAUAGAUGAUUUAGCAAGACCAAAGACUUCGAAAGCCUCCUGGAUGACUAGUUAUUGGCCCGUGAACUGGUCCAAUCAGAGUCUUAUACGACCGUUGACAAAGGCUGCAGUUAAAGCCAAAUCCACGCCUCGUUUAGAAGAACUUGCCGCACCCAAAAAAAACUUUCAACUGGAACAUCCAGAACGAUGUGACAGGUAAAGUGUACCUCAGUAUGA